AUUCCAGCUCCAAUAGCGUAUACUAAAGUUGUUGCAGUUAAAAAGCUCGUAGUUGAAUUUCUGGUCGUGGCGACCGGUCCGCCCCUCACGGGGUGUGCACCUGGUCUCUGCGUCCAUCCUCGGGGAGAGCGCGUCUGGCAUUCAGUUGUCGGGCACGGGAUCCUCGUCAUUUACUGUGAGCAAAAUAGAGUGUUCAAAGCAGGCUUAGGCCGUUGAAUACAUUAGCAUGGAAUAAUAAGAUAGGACCUUGGUCUAUUUUGUUGGUUUGCAUUCCAAGGUAAUGAUUAAUAGGGGUAGUUGGGGGUAUUCGUAUUCAAUUGUCAGAGGUGAAAUUCUUGGAUUUAUGGAAGACGAACUACUGCGAAAGCAUUUACCAAGGAUGUUUUCAUCA
RNAcentral lists this ribosomal RNA (391 nucleotides) under Chrysophyceae sp. RNAcentral describes it as "partial small subunit ribosomal RNA". It matches the Rfam family "Eukaryotic small subunit ribosomal RNA", at positions 582 to 975 of the family's 1831-position model. The record is from RNAcentral. Lineage: Eukaryota; Chrysophyceae.